RNAcentral lists this long non-coding RNA (532 nucleotides) under Cyanistes caeruleus (blue tit). RNAcentral's name for it is "lncRNA (ENSCCEG00000011287.1)". The record is from RNAcentral. Lineage: Eukaryota; Metazoa; Chordata; Aves; Passeriformes; Paridae.
CAGACAUGGAGCUCAUGCACCAUUUCCUCUUGGGGAGCUCAGCUCUGCCAGCCCUGCCCACACGGAGGGAACAGGGAGCAGGUGCUGGCUGAAGGUGUGGCAGGAGCUCCUGAGAGCUCCUGAGGAGUUGAUUCCGUGCAUGAAGUUAACUGCUGGGACUGGCACUCUUACAGAUAUCCAGAGGUCCCCGUGUCCUCCUGACCCUGGGCUUCAGUGCAGCCUGACACGAAGGGAGGGUAGGGCAGGAACGGUGCAGGGCCAAGGCUGUCAGAGCACAAGCACUUGGAGCUGCAAUCAUGUGCAUAAAAGGCUUCAGAGCUGCCUGAGAACUAGCACUGAAGAUAUAUCCUUGACAUUUUCGGGUGCUGAACAUUUAUCAGAGAGGGGGCUGUGUAUGGAGCAUGCUGCUGUGUUCACAGCUUCAGCAGAGGCACUGAAAAGGCAGCUCUGUGGAAAACCCUUGGAACACACGGCCUGUCAGACCUGCCCUGCCAUUCAGAAACAUUGUGGAUCUAAAAUAAUGCUGGCCUGA